UACGAAGGGUGCAAACGUUGCUCGGAAUCAUUGGGCGUAAAGCGCACGUAGGCGGCUUCGCAAGUCGGAUGUGAAUCCCUCGGCUCAACCGAGGACGUGCAUCCGAACUGCGGAGCUUGAGUACUGAAGAGGAUCGCGGAAUUCCGGUGUAGAGGUGAAAUUCGUAGAUAUCGGAGGAACACCAGUGGCGAAGGCGGCGAUCUGGCAGAUACUGACGCUGAGUGCGAAAGCGUGGGAGCAAACAGGG
This 247-nucleotide ribosomal RNA is filed under the name uncultured bacterium. RNAcentral's name for it is "partial 16S ribosomal RNA". It matches the Rfam family "Bacterial small subunit ribosomal RNA", at positions 524 to 777 of the family's 1533-position model. The record is from RNAcentral.